AGCUGUCACAUUUAUGUUAAUCAGGCUGAACUUUAAUCAUACUUUACAUCAAACUGCUUUACUUGCUGCUUCCUUUGUGCUUUGGUUUCCUGUCUUCUAUUAUUAGACCUGAGACGUGACUGCUCUGUGCUGUUGCUGAUGACUCCAGUUAAUCCUACAAGACAUGCUGUAUCAUCAGAAUGAAAGUUAUUGGCCAUGUUUGCAGAGCCCUUUUUAAAAUGAUGCUUUCCUGACAUCAUUGUGUAUCGGCUGGCUAUCCAGACUGACAAGUGGGACAGUGAAUGUCACCUCUCCAGUGAGGAGGGAGCCUGAGAUUGAGAGUGUAAACUGAGGACACCAGGA
Non-coding RNA from Maylandia zebra (zebra mbuna), 342 nucleotides. NCBI's taxonomy places the organism in Eukaryota, Metazoa, Chordata, Actinopteri, Cichliformes, Cichlidae. The record is from RefSeq and is a predicted model, not a curated record.